GUGCUUGGGCGAGAGUAGUACUAGGAUGGGUGGCCCCAAGUACUCGUGUUGCAAUCGUC
This 59-nucleotide ribosomal RNA is filed under the name Mentha gattefossei. The record is from RNAcentral. Lineage: Eukaryota; Viridiplantae; Streptophyta; Magnoliopsida; Lamiales; Lamiaceae.